Sorghum bicolor (sorghum) is the source of this 2286-nucleotide long non-coding RNA. RefSeq lists it as uncharacterized. The transcript has 2 exons. NCBI's taxonomy places the organism in Eukaryota, Viridiplantae, Streptophyta, Magnoliopsida, Poales, Poaceae. The record is from RefSeq and is a predicted model, not a curated record.
UUCUGCUCCACUUUCGGCCUCCCACCCCCGGAAACCUGCCCGACAUCUCGAUCCCUCUCUCCUCUCCCUGCCGUCGCUGUCGUCGUCACCUCCACACCUCAAUCCCUCACUGCGCAGCCGUCACAUAGCCAUCCCUCCAGGCCGCGCGAGAUCUCGUGGUCCGGCGGAGCCGCUUGAGAUCCCGUGGUUCGCAAUCGGUCAGACCUCAUCUCCCCUACGGUGUACGAUCAAGGAACUUGUUCUUCCUUCUCCUUACCUCAAGCUCCCUUGGUGCGGGAUGGAGGGCAGGUCCUCCGCGUGGAUCUCGGUGCCGGCUGUCAGGCUUGUUGUUGGGUCAGUUGGUUAAAAGAGAAUAAACCAUUUCAACUUCAUACCGUCCUUUGAAAUUAUUACGAGCCUUGGAGAAAGCUAAAAUAAAAAAUGUAAUUGCAAAUUAGAGAUGAGGAUGCCAUUCUUGAUGUUUCUGGAAGCAAUAGUUUUACUGACAUAUGUUUGAUGUUUGCAAACAGAAAUUGCUUAAAUGAGUUGUCCUAAAGGGCACAUGGAGGCUGAGUUAUCACCGGUAGCAUAUAUACUACUUGCCAAGAUAUUCAUUACCUUCCCACGGGGUAAAGUGAUACGUUAUAGAUUUAGAGCUAUAUAGAAUUUGUAGCUUUUGACAGAUCUGUGUAAUGUUAGUUCUUCCAUUGUUCAAAUAGGCAGAUUUCGGCUCAGUGGUUUGUGUACAUGGUAUUUAAGCGUCAUAUGUUGAGAAUAAAUUAUUAGCUCAGAUAUCUAGCUUCACUGUUAAAUGAAUUACAUGUGAGCUUACCUAACCAAAUAUAUUAUUGUCUACUUCCUGUUCUUACUGUCUGGUCAUUUAAAUUCUAUUGUGUUAGAACAAAUCAACAUAAAUUGUCUGCAUUCUCUUUAAAUAUGUGCAACCAUUUGAAACAGAUAAACAUGCUUUAAUCUUUUAGUUUUUUCAGUGUUUGGAUCUCCAGUUGAAUACGCGAUUCGGAUGCCAAGUUGUAGGUAUUUUCUUUAUGAUAUGGCUUGGACCUUUCUUCUGCCCAUGGUGGUGAACUGGUAAGCCAGAUUUCUUUGUAUCCUUAUCAUGCGUGUGUGCUUAAUACGAGAUCCACAAGCUUAUGAAUUAUCUUGUGAUAACCAAAUCCCCUGGGUAUUUUAGAUUGAAUGCCUUUUGUGCUUUGAGAAAUAGCUUGACCUCACAGUAAACUAUUUGGAAUUUUCAAAAUGCAGUGACUAUUGGUGAACAAAUAACUGAGGUGCAUAAUCCUCUUAGAGCAGCUGAGCCCUUGCUUCUAUAGUGGUUAAGCUCUUCUCUUUUGUUUUAAUGUUAGGAUUCAGGGACAAUUUGUGCAAUAAUUAUUGUUCCAAAAGUCAAUUUAUGUUCAUUGCUAGGAUUUUGUCAACAUCUAUUUUGCAUAGUGUCUGUGUGCCUGAUCAGGGACAUUAAACUUGGUCAGUUUAAUACAAAAUUAAUGUCUUCCUUUCUGUUAAAUCAUUUUGAGGCAUUUUUAGGUUGUCAACCAAUUCAAUAGCACUGGAUAUUUGUUAUAAUAAAAUUAAAUUAUUAGUACUUCUAUUGGAGCUUUAGCCUAUGAUUCCCUUGAAUGUAGAGUUCUAGCAUGUUACAGGAUUACAACUCAAUUUCUAACUACUGAAGAUUAUUUUUUCCUGUAGGAGCAACAGAAAAGAAUUAGGAAAUUCAUCCACAUACAUCUGAUAUCCUUUUUGUAGACUAUUUAUAAGUUUUCCUCUCUCAAAUACAUAGUCCUGUGGAUGUACAUCCUGACAUUGCUGCCAUGAUAGGUUUUGGUGGGUUAAAACAUAGGCAAGGUUCAUUUAUAUAAUUGGAGCUUGCACUUUUACACUCAGUUAUAUAUAUAUCCUUCACUUUAGUUACAAUAAAAUAUUGGCUUUCUAGCAUAAUCUGAUGGAGGUGGCUAUCGGCUUUACCUUUGGUCUUCCAUUAUCUUUUUAGCAAGAAUACUUUUGCGGCUAAAGCGAAGGAUCACCUUAUGUUUGGAUCAGCAUUUCUAAGCUACCGGCUAUAGUGUUCGGUUGUUAUGAAUUCUAAGGUGUUUCUAAGGUGUAAUAGUUGGGUAUGUAAUGUAUGACAUAAUAGCUAUUCUAGCAUGCAUGUAAUGAAGGAUCUUGUAAUUUAUGGCUAAACAGAACCAUAACAACUGUGAUGGCCAUACAACUUGUUUUUAUAUUCAAAUGCUUCAUGAUUUGUACUAAGUAUUUAAUGAUAUGAUAUAUGAUGUGAUGCUAUGGUAA